CCUUGGGUUUCUGCCAGGGAGACAGGGGAUCUGGAAGAACACAGGACUGGGACAGGCCCAGUCUGCAGGCUGGAGAUGCAGGGCCCCCAGAAGGUGACUAUACUUGGAGACGGGACCAUUACAGAGACACACAGGGAGAAGAUGGCCGUCUACAGACCAAGGAGGAAGGCCUGGGCCAGAUCCUUCCCUCGUGGCCCUCAGAAGAAACCACCCAUCACAGAUUUCUGUCUCCAGAACUAGGAGAAGAUAUAUUUCUGCUGUUUAAGCCCCCCACCCCCCUAUUCCGUGGCGCUUUAUAAGGGUGGCAAAUUAACAUGGACGCUUAAAGGUUGGGAGGUCUGCACGACCUUGAGGCUGCCUGGGCUCACCGAGUGUGUGUCGAAAAGGGGGGUCGGCUUUUGUCCUAGCCUUGCUGUGUUAUUUUAAUUUGAAGCAAAAUUGAUCUAUUACUCUCCUC
This is a long non-coding RNA of Suricata suricatta (meerkat), 457 nucleotides long. RefSeq lists it as uncharacterized. The transcript is spliced from 3 exons. NCBI's taxonomy places the organism in Eukaryota, Metazoa, Chordata, Mammalia, Carnivora, Herpestidae. The record is from RefSeq and is a predicted model, not a curated record.